Molecule: non-coding RNA, 28 nt
Filed under: Bombyx mori (domestic silkworm)
Lineage: Eukaryota; Metazoa; Arthropoda; Insecta; Lepidoptera; Bombycidae
Source: RNAcentral
UACUUUAAGAAUCAAGUCACGACGUACA